Molecule: ribosomal RNA, 835 nt
Filed under: Cellulosimicrobium sp.
Lineage: Bacteria; Bacillati; Actinomycetota; Actinomycetes; Micrococcales; Promicromonosporaceae
Description: bacterial SSU rRNA
Rfam family: Bacterial small subunit ribosomal RNA
Source: RNAcentral
UCUGCUCAGGACGAACGCUGGCGGCGUGCUUAACACAUGCAAGUCGAACGAUGAAGCCCAGCUUGCUGGGUGGAUUAGUGGCGAACGGGUGAGUAACACGUGAGUAACCUGCCCUUGACUUCGGGAUAACUCCCGGGAAACCGGGGCUAAUACUGGAUAUGAGCCGUCCUCGCAUGGGGGUGGUUGGAAAGUUUUUCGGUCAGGGAUGGGCUCGCGGCCUAUCAGCUUGUUGGUGGGGUGAUGGCCUACCAAGGCGACGACGGGUAGCCGGCCUGAGAGGGCGACCGGCCACACUGGGACUGAGACACGGCCCAGACUCCUACGGGAGGCAGCAGUGGGGAAUAUUGCACAAUGGGCGCAAGCCUGAUGCAGCGACGCCGCGUGAGGGAUGAAGGCCUUCGGGUUGUAAACCUCUUUCAGCAGGGAAGAAGCGCAAGUGACGGUACCUGCAGAAGAAGCGCCGGCUAACUACGUGCCAGCAGCCGCGGUAAUACGUAGGGCGCAAGCGUUGUCCGGAAUUAUUGGGCGUAAAGAGCUCGUAGGCGGUUUGUCGCGUCUGGUGUGAAAACUCGAGGCUCAACCUCGAGCUUGCAUCGGGUACGGGCAGACUAGAGUGCGGUAGGGGAGACUGGAAUUCCUGGUGUAGCGGUGGAAUGCGCAGAUAUCAGGAGGAACACCGAUGGCGAAGGCAGGUCUCUGGGCCGCAACUGACGCUGAGGAGCGAAAGCAUGGGGAGCGAACAGGAUUAGAUACCCUGGUAGUCCAUGCCGUAAACGUUGGGCACUAGGUGUGGGGCUCAUUCCACGAGUUCCGUGCCGCAGCAAACGCAUUAAGU